Molecule: long non-coding RNA, 1102 nt
Filed under: Homo sapiens (human)
Lineage: Eukaryota; Metazoa; Chordata; Mammalia; Primates; Hominidae
Description: non-protein coding lnc-FBN2-7:1
Source: RNAcentral
CCUAUGGCAAGUGCAAGGGAAGAGGUCAUUCUCAGUCUGUGGUUCUACCCUUUUCAUGCCCUCUCAGAUUUGCGGCCCACUCACUUGUAAAUUGGCAUAUUCCUGCAGGCUGGAGUGCAAUGGCGCAAUCUUGGCUCACUGCAAUCUCCACCUCCUGGGUUCAAGCAAUUCUCCUGCCUCAGCCACCCAAAUAGCUGGGAUUACAGUUUGAUUCUCACCACAACACACAUUUCACUCUUUGAUUCUCUUUUUUCCCAGUUAGUUGUUGGCUGAAUGAUCAGUCUAUUUAUUUUAUAUAUAUCUAGGCAUCUACAUAUCCAUUCAUAGGACAACAUGAUACAAUCAAAAUAGUUUCUCAUUCAUGAGCCACAUAUUAAGACUUUGGAAUACUAUAAUGGUCAGGUCGACUUUAUGUUCUAGAUAUUUAUGAAAGUUUUCUCUGACUUCUGAUUUAGGCCAUCUUAUCCCUAAGAACUCAGCAUUAGUACAUACAUUUUUAAUCUAAUUUAGAUUUAAUAAGGAUAGCAGGCUAUUUCUGUCUUUAUUGAAUGGAGAAAAAAAAUCAAUGCAGUGUAUUAAGGAUAGCCAAAGAGAGUAUUUGUUUUGGAUAUUAGUUUAGGACCAUAGUUACUAGAUCUCAAACAUAAGAGGCUUCAGUUAAAGGCAAGAGACAAUGGAUAGGAAUUCUGUAUUAAUAAAAAUUGGGAAGCAGUGAAGUCAAUUGAUACACAUAGCUUUCAAAUUGCAUCAUUACAGGUACAACCUGGGCAAAACUUUGUGACUCCUUGUGAAAAGGGUGAAAUGCUUAAAAACCCAGGUUGAUAAAAAUUGCUGAACUUAUCCUAAGACAAACCUUCUUUUAUCUACUUCUUAAAUAUUGGUGAUUCACUGGAUUCCUCUUGAUCAUGGUUUUCUUCAUAUGCUACAUGCUGUUUGGGGGGCAAACUUGACCAUGAGUUCAACUGUUUAUGACAGAGUCAGGCAAUGUGCUGCCUGCCUGCCACUGUACCUCUGGCUUAGGCCCAUGGCAUGUAUUGCUGAUUUGUCCUGGUACUCAUUCCUGCCCAUCCUUGACUUGGCCGCACAGUCCUUCUGAACAUGU